This 407-nucleotide ribosomal RNA is filed under the name uncultured bacterium. Its description in RNAcentral is "partial 16S ribosomal RNA". It matches the Rfam family "Bacterial small subunit ribosomal RNA", at positions 28 to 526 of the family's 1533-position model. The record is from RNAcentral.
GACGAACGCUGGCGGCGUGCCUAAUACAUGCAAGUAGGACUCAGUUGCGAACGGGAGAGUAACGCGUAGGCAACUACCUAUGAGAGGGGGCUAACUAUUGGAAACGAUAGCUAAUACCGCAUACUAGUAGAUGGACCUGCUUUGUAAUAGCUAGUAGGUAGGGUAAUGGCCUACCUAGGCAACGAUAAAAAGCCGACCUGAGAGAGUGAUCGGCCAAGCUGGGACUGAGACAAGUCCCAGACUCCUACGGGGGGCAGCAGUAGGGAAUCUUCGGCAAUGGGGGGAACCCUGACCGAGCAACGCCGCGUGAGUGAAGAAGGUUUUCGGAUCGGAAAGCUCUGUUGUUAAGGAAGCGGUACUUAACCAGAAAGGGACGGCUAACUACGUGCCAGCAGCCGCGGUAAUUC